CCCAAGCAUUUUUCCCCUGUUGCUUAUUUGGUUGCUGGUUUUUUCUUUGCGGUUUUUGUUCUGUUUCGUUUCUGAUUUUUUAAACAGUGAAAUAUGUCCAAUUUUAUUUCCAGUGCAUUAAACACAUUUUAAAUUAAAAAAAGAAAUAAAACUUUCCCCUCAUCCUUCUAAAGGAAAUGACUGAUAAAAGUACAAUAUAAUAAAAUCAGGCAUUGCCAAAAAUAGCAUGAUGUGCAACCUCAAUUACAUCAAGAAAAACAAACAGACAAACGAGAAUUAUAAACCGUAAGCAAGAAGGAGCCAAGACUAUAUAAUCCCAACUAUGGUAUGAUUGGCAAGCACUGGUUAAAAAUAGGUAAGGCUACUCUUAGAUUUCUAACUCAACAUAGUUAACCACUGCUCUUCUGUCUUUUCUUUCAACUCUUAAUCUUUCACUCACUAGUUCUUUAUAUCUUUAAAAUGAACAAAUUUGUUUUUAUAUUUUUGGUCUACAGUAGAAUUACAUAUUAAUAAUAUAAUAAAAAGGUAUUUCAUUAACAGGUUGGUACUGCAUCCAUGUGGAGAAAAUAGAGAAAAAGCACUCAAACAAACAUAGCAAAUGGACGCUACUUUUACAAAAAUAACCACAAAUAUAAUAGAAAUUAUAAACAGGGCAACAGACUGAACUGAAAGAUAUAUUUGGGGUAAUACAAACUCCUGAUAAGCUAUGCCCUAGAAUCGCAGCCUCCAAACCUUUCCUGUGAUGUCCACCUUUCCAUAGUAUCACUUGAAAUUCAAAUGGAAAUGGAAACAAAAUGAAAAUAAAAGAAACCAAGGAACCAAAUAAUUCUUCUGGUAACAUAUAAUAUACGAGAUGAAAUAGAACUGCAAUAAAGGGGACAUGGGGGUGAGGUGGGAAAGAGAAGAGAGAGGAGAAAUAGGCAAACUUGGGGCACCACCAUCCUUUGUUUUCUGCAACACAUUGGUUCCCUUCUUUCUGAGCAUCCUUCAGUAUUAGCUACAGGCCCCAAUGUCCUGUGAGCAAACAUGCGUUGGCUCAGCUCUUGGCCUGACCUCUAUACUUAUUGGCUUUCCUAAGGGCUUGAUGGCUCCGGAGGCUCCCUGCCGCCACUGCCCCAUGCCUUUGAUGAAGCAGAGAAGGAGUGCAAAGUUGUGAUGACAGAGGCCCUUUACACUAACCAUUCCCACUUCACUGGUUUUUUCACACUGACGGUCCAGUGUGGGAAAAUAAGAAGGAAAGGAAUUCAUAAGAGUUGAGCUUGGUCAUCAAGCGUAAAGUUUACUUCCAGGAAAACAAAGAAAAAAACCCCCAAAAUCCAAGAUGAAGAAGAAGAAGAAGAGGGUGACAAUGACAAAGAAAUGGCAUCAGUCAGAAAAUACUGCUUUUGGUUUCUUUUAACUUUGAAUCGUCCUUGGUUUUUCUCUCAUUCAACUGCUCCAGUUUAAAGUAAAGUUUAGAAUCUAGUGCAAAUAUCAUCACAUCAUACCAUUCCAGGAGCAAUACCGUAUCCCUUCAUCCUAAGUGAAUACUAUCCCUUCGGACCUCCUCAGAAGACUGGGGGCAAUGAUCCAGAAAAGCACAACUGAACAGAUUAUUAAUCUAGUACUCACUACAACAAGAAAGGCACUAUCACAACAGAUCAGCCUCAGCAUUUUCCUUGCCGUGGGCAUGGAUGUUUUAACCUCUCCACUAACCACAAUGAAACCCAGACUGUGGCUUUUUCAGUACUUGAAUCCACUGACCAGUUGUCUGACUUCCCCACUGGCCACUCCUCUUGGCUCUGGCCAUGCACAGCCCUGAUCUGCUCUGUGUCCAUGUUGCCCCACGUUUCACCAAUGAUCCUUGAGUGGUUCUAAAUGAUUUAGCUCACUCUCUUCCAUGGAGGUUUCUUUCUCUCCAUCAGUCUCCAGGUCAUCAUGACUCUAUUAAAGACUAGUUUACAGUGUCAGGUACUAUCGUUUAUUAUUUUUUUUCCUAUUUUUUAAUCCUCUAACCAAACCCUAAGUCAUAAAGACAGUUCAGUAGCUCCUCUAGCAACAAGUCUCUUGUCAAUAUCACUGUGAACAGAAUGAAAGCCAAAGUAUCACCCCCUGACCACCUUGAGCUUGCUGUAUUACUUCUGUUUGGGAGAGAGGAGGUUGGGCUCUGGAAAUUAAAAUCUUUGGUGACAAAACUGGAGUGGGUUUGCAAGUUUCAAGGAAGAAGUUAUUUUCCAAAAGCCUCAAGAGAAGUAACCUAGGACAGUUAAUGUGAAUGUAUUUUAAAAGGUCAAUUAUUUCUUUCUGUAACUUUGGUCUGGUAUAGUCAGUAUCUUCUCAGUGCUUACCCAACACACAGCUCUGUUAAGAGCUCUGAAUUUAGAGUUUCUUAUUUAAAAGGGAGAUAAUACUUUGAGUGCUUAAGGGAUUGCUUACGUUAGUUCUGAAAGCUCUAAAUGGAGUUUUUCUGCCUAACAAGGCUGACAGCUUCCUUCACCAUCUUUUAACUUGGAAAAGUAGACUUGGAAGGAUGCUAAGGAGGAGAGAGAAAGAGCUACCUAUCAAUGUAAGAGGUCUCAACGGAGAGUUUUCCCAAUUGAUGCCCCAACAUGACAGUGAUCAGAGAAACUCAACAUUUUACCCAUUGAUGUGGGUUGUGAUCCUUUCUUACUGAACCAGAAUCUUCAAAGCUGUCACCGUGGAUUCUGGAAGAAUCCUUCAGCAUCUUCACUCUUUUGUUAUUAUUCCCUAUACAAUCUAUUGCUUUUCCUGUGGUGAAAGAUUCUUUUAUUAAUAGUCACGAAAGAGCUGUCAAAUUCUAAUUAUUUCUAAGAUUUAGAAAGGCAAUAAAAAUAAAUCCAAUAAAGAAAAGUUGAAUAAAAGAAACCCAACAACUUCAAAACUAGGCUUUUAGGCACUGUUAAGGUCUUCUGCUUUAUAAGGGAUAGCCUAUGAUGGAGCAGCUAGCUAGUCAGGAGGUUUGGAUCAAUCCUCCAAUACAUCCUCCAAUUUCAAGGUUGGCCUAGCUUGUCUCAGAAUAAACCUUUUAUCUCACUGGUUUUCAAUGGUUAUUGCACUGUCCCCUUACUGUCAUCUUUAAAGGAUUUCACCACAUGCAUGGCCUUCCUCUUUGGUUAGCCUGAUCCAGGUUUCAGCCAGUGAUGGAAAAGCAAGCUCAGGCUGAAAGGAUAUCUCCAUUGUGGACAAGGUGAGGUUAUUCUAAGAGGAGGCCAUACCUCCGGGCCAAGGCGAAGACAUCUGGCCACCUCGGUUGGCUUCCUCACCAUCACAGCGCUUACUGAAGGCUUAGUUGGAGACGAACAUUGGGCAAACUUCUCCUUCAGCAUCUUCAGUUUACAGUACUAACUCAGCUUCUUUAUAACAAGAAAAUAGAUCCUAUCAGCGUGGCCGUUUCUAGGCCUGAUCAAGGGCUGGCAGCUUGCACAGAUUCUCACCAACCCUGCUAUGACCAAGCAUGAUGGAAAUAACCCUCCGUUUUUGUGGUGCUUCUAGUUUCAUAACUUGCCUCUUUCUUUCCCAUACCUCACACACUCUCUCCCGGCACAAGUAAAUACAUUUCAGUAGUGCAAUGCAGUGCAGUCAUAUUUA
Molecule: long non-coding RNA, 3588 nt
Filed under: Sus scrofa (pig)
Lineage: Eukaryota; Metazoa; Chordata; Mammalia; Artiodactyla; Suidae
Description: lncRNA (ENSSSCG00025035971.1)
Source: RNAcentral